GCCGAAGCUCAAGGCUAAUUGCAGUGGAUGUUUUACGCAUUGUCAGCAAGAUGAUGGACUGAUAGAAACUUGAGGGGAAAGGACAGCGCCUCUGCAAGACAAGUAUGAACAGAUUUUCCAGUUUUUCAAGAGAGCUGGGAAUUCAGAUUUUUAUGUAAAAUAUUCUUAUUUUUAAAGGUUGUCAGGUCAUUCCAAAAUUUUUACAUACUGCAAUCCAAACAAAAAAGAAUAACCAAAGAAGCUCUAGGACUCACCCAGCAUUUCAUCCAGGGGAAGGGAGAGAACCAACCUAUUAAAUGGAGGGAUGAAGUUAAGAAUGCACAGAUGAUGGCACCUGACCAUAGUUUGCCUGCUUGAGGCCAGUCUCUUGGUUGUGUAACCAAAGAAUGGAAAAGAAUGAUGACUUCAAUGAAAAUACAUUUUGGAAAAUAUCCUUUGGAGAAAAAGGAACUUCAUCCAGAACACCCAGGAGAACAUUCUGAAAAUUAGAAAAAAGCAGAAGAAAAGAGUGCCGAGUAAAGGACAACUAAGAGGACAGAAUUCCAACAUUCGACUUAUAGGUGCUUCCUUCAUCAGGGUUGAUAGCAAGAAUAAUUGGAGCAGAUGAAAAUAUUGAUUAAUGAUGAUGGACUAAGAAGUAAAACUUGAAUUUGGAGAUUAGAGUGCAAACCAUAGUCCAGAUAAAAUUAAAGAAGGGAGGAAGUACCAGCAACUUAUGAAUUAUAGCACAUUAGAUGUUUUUAAACAAAGUUUGGCAAAAGUAGAAGAGGGGAAAUAAUGGAGAAAAAUGAUGCUAAAAUGUCUUUGGAUAUGAAAGGCAAAAGUCGGCAUUUCAGAUGUUGUUCAUCAAAGAAAUAUAACAGUGGGGCUCCUCAAAACUCAGUCGUCUGCAGUAUUGUCUUUGCAAUGCAGGUUUACUUCUUAAAUGAUCUCUUCCAUUAUCCAUGACUUUAAAUGUAUGGCAUGAUAACAUGUCAUCAGCCUCAGGCUUGCACCCAAGCACCACACAUCUCUUAUUCCUCUUGGCUGCAUAAAGAGCACAAACUUAGCAUGACCAAGCAGCCCUUUGAGUCCAAGACACCUCCAAAACCUGCUUCUCCCCAGAGUUCUCAUCACUGUCACUGGCACUAGUAUCCACCCAGUUGUUCAAGACCUUAAUCCAGGUGUCAUCUUUAGUUCUUCAGUUUGCACUUUCAUCCCCACGUCCAGUUGAAGUCCUUUCUGUUCAAAAACAAUUUGCAAAUUUUUCAAGAUAAUUGGCUGUGUAGGCAAGAGUAAUGAAUUGGGAGCUGGAAGGUGACCUGGCAUCCAAGGAGGGAUUUCUGCUUGCCUUGUUUUUUAAGAGAAAAGAGGUUUGAUUUUAUCUUGAAGGAGAAGGUCAAGAGGGAAAACCACAAGGUUCAGGAGAAAGUGGAGAUAUUAACUGAACACAGAACAGCAGAAGGCAAGAAAGAGGGAAUGAAAUCCAGCAAGCAGAGGUCAGAGUCAGUUUUACAAGUAAACAGGAGCUAGUGCGUGGAGGAAUUUAUUCUGUUUGUAGGUGAUGAGGCAAUAGUUAGGUGUGGAACCCUCUAUCUAUAGUUCUGGUGGCAGGAAGUUGAAGGCUUCCACAUCUGACUGCCUCUCUUUCCCUUCUGAAGUUUAUGGGAAGACCUUCUGCUUCAAGCAUUUGAAGGGAUGGAUCAUGGAAUCUCAACCAGUUAGGGACAGAAGUGAAAACAGGAGUGAACGGAUAAAUUGGCAGAAAACAGUGUCCACAAGAUAUCAGUGGCCAUCCCCUUUCUUAGUAAAUGGCAACUACACUGAAAAAUCUGGACAUAAUCCUUGAUUAUUGCUUCUCUUCCACUACCCAGAUCUAAUACUCACCAAACCCUAGUCAUUCCAUGUUCUAAAGGAUUUGUAUGGAGUCCAUUCAACAUCUCUAUACUCACCACACCCAUCCUGGUGCAGUACGGCCUCCCGUUUCACUUGGACUACUUGCCUUGGACAUUAUCCACAACAAUUGCUCCAUAUUUUGACUAGUACCAUCCUUGAAAUGUCAAUUUAUGGAUACCCAGCCAAUACCGCUCAAUGGUUUUGCACUGUUCUAAGGAUAAAGUCCAGAAAACUUCACAGGCUUUUCAAGGUCAUCCAUAAUCUGGCUUCUAUCGGCUCAUGUUUCAAACAUCUCUCUCCCUCCCUCUCUCUCUCUCUCCCUCUCUCCCCUCUUCCCCCAGCCCCUCUCUCUCAAGUAAACCUGCAGCCAUGCUUAAGCACUUUGACCAUCUCAGGCUUUCUUUAGCCUUUGGUGGCUUCCCAUAGGCUGUCCCCUCUUCAUGUAACACCUGUGUUUCUGCCUCAAUCUUGGCCUUCAUUCAGAUUUCAGAUUAAACAUUUCUUCUUAUUUGUCUUGCUCAGCCCCCAUCCCUUUUUUCUACCACCAGUACCAACAACAACUGGACUAAUUUCAUUUCUUACUUGGCUCCUAUAAUACCCUGGGCUUAUGGCUAUUGAAUUUCUCCAUGUGGCUAUUCUAUUAUAAUUGCUUGUUUAUUAUCUGGGUUUCCCCGAAUAAAAUGUAAAGGGCUGGAACUAGGUUUAUCUCAUUGGUAUCUGACUUGACAGUACUUGGCCCAGGGAUUUAGCACAUCACUAGACCCCAAUUAAUAUUUGUGCCAGUUUGAGUGUAUUGUGUCCCCCAAAUGCCAUUAUCUUUGUGGUCUUGUGUGGGGCAGAAGUUUUGGUGCUGGUUAGAUUUGCUUGGAGUGUGCCCCACCCAGCU
Long non-coding RNA from Choloepus didactylus (southern two-toed sloth), 2761 nucleotides. RefSeq lists it as uncharacterized. The transcript has 5 exons. The record is from RefSeq and is a predicted model, not a curated record. NCBI's taxonomy places the organism in Eukaryota, Metazoa, Chordata, Mammalia, Pilosa, Megalonychidae.